Molecule: ribosomal RNA, 406 nt
Filed under: uncultured bacterium
Lineage: Bacteria
Description: partial 16S ribosomal RNA
Rfam family: Bacterial small subunit ribosomal RNA
Source: RNAcentral
AUUGAACGCUGGCGGCAGGCCUAACACAUGCAAGUCGAACGGGUGGCGGACGGGUGAGUAAUGUCUGGGCAACUGCCAGAUGGAGGGGGACAAGUACUGGACACUGUAGCUAAUACCGCCUACAUGAGGAUGUGCCCAGAUGGGAUUAGCUAGUAGGUGGGGUAAUGGCACACCUCGGCGACGAUCCCUAGCUGGUCUGAGAGGAUGACCAGCCACACUGGAACUGAGACACGGUCCAGACUCCUACGGGAGGCAGCAGUGGGGAAUAUUGCACAAUGGGCGCAAGCCUGAUGCAGCCAUGCCGCGUGUAUGAAGAAGGCCUUCGGGUUGUAAAGUACUUUCAGCGAGGAGGCGUUACCCGCAGAAGAAGCACCGGCUAACUCCGUGCCAGCCGCCGCGGUAAUAC